Molecule: ribosomal RNA, 517 nt
Filed under: uncultured bacterium
Lineage: Bacteria
Description: bacterial SSU rRNA
Rfam family: Bacterial small subunit ribosomal RNA
Source: RNAcentral
ACGAACGCUGGCGGCGUGCCUAAUACAUGCAAGUCGAACGGUCUUUCUAUGGAAGCUUGCUUCCACUGAGAAGAUAGUGGCGAACGGGUGAGUAACAACGUGGGUAACCUGCCCAUAAGAGGGGGAUAACAUCCGGAAACGGGUGCUAAUACCGCAUAGUUUUCUUGAUCGCAUGAUUGAGAAAGGAAAGACGGCCUUUGUGCUGUCGCUUAUGGAUGGACCCGCGGCGUAUUAGUUAGUUGGUGAGGUAACGGCUCACCAAGACGAUGAUACGUAGCCGACCUGAGAGGGUGAUCGGCCACAUUGGGACUGAGACACGGCCCAAACUCCUACGGGAGGCAGCAGUAGGGAAUCUUCCGCAAUGGACGAAAGUCUGACGGAGCAACGCCGCGUGAGUGAAGAAAGGUUUUCGGAUCGUAAAACUCUGUUGUCAGAGAAGGACAAGUUGGAGAGUAACUGCUCCAGCCUUGACGGUAUCUGACCAGAAAGCCACGGCUAACUACGUGCCAGCAGCGGC